AGGACGAACGCUGGCGGCGUGCCUAACACAUGCAAGUCGAACGAGGUCCAACCGGUAGCAAUACCGGUGAAGACCAAGUGGCGAACGGGUGAGUAGCACGUGAGCAACCUACCCCGAAGACCGGGACAACACCGGGAAACCGGUGCUAAUACCGGAUAUCCCCACCGAGUCGCAUGGCUUGGUGAGGAAAUGGAUUCCGCUUCGGGAGGGGCUCGCGGCCUAUCAGCUAGUUGGUGAGGUAACGGCUCACCAAGGCUUCGACGGGUAGCUGGUCUGAGAGGACGAUCAGCCACACUGGGACUGAGACACGGCCCAGACUCCUACGGGAGGCAGCAGUGGGGAAUCUUGCACAAUGGGCGAAAGCCUGAUGCAGCAACGCCGCGUGAGGGACGAAGGCUUUCUGAGUUGUAAACCUCUUUCAGCAGGGACGAUGAUGACGGUACCUGCAGAAGAGCCCGGCAACUACGUGCCAGCAGCCGC
RNAcentral lists this ribosomal RNA (480 nucleotides) under uncultured bacterium. Its description in RNAcentral is "SSU rRNA". It matches the Rfam family "Bacterial small subunit ribosomal RNA", at positions 26 to 518 of the family's 1533-position model. The record is from RNAcentral.